UACUAAAAUAGACUAAUUAGGUCACCUCUUUACCUUUUCAAUAAACUAAACAAACUGAGCUUCUGAAGUCUCACACUGUAAAAUAGGUUUUCCAGCCCUUGAAGCAUUCCCGCAGCUCUUUUGUGGCCUGUAUCUGAUUUUUCAAUUUCCUUUUUGAAAUGGGGAGACAAGGGCUGGACAAGAGUAUUCCAGCAAGGAUCUCCCCUGUGUUGUAAAGAAAGGUUAUUUGUUCCCUACUCCUACUCAGUAUUCCACUGUUUGUAAAUCCUCAGACCACCUUUGUUUUCUUAAAGGAAACAGUUCACAGAGAGUUCAGAUGCAGAUGGUCAUGCACCAACUCUUUCUCAGAAUCACCGCUUUGGGGGAUAAAGGCUUCUGUUCUAAUGACAAAUGUUCUUCUUGUUGUGAAGAAGAGGCCCAGGUAGUGUGGAUGUGUGAAGGGAAGCCCCUGGAAGAGUUCACUGAUCUGGGUCUUUAUAGUGACACUCCUAAUUUAGUACGGCAGCUGAUCAUAAAACACCUACAACUGAUCCUGUGGUAGUAUAUAGAUAUCUACUCCUAUGAGCAGACUACUCACCUGGUACUUCCGGUGGCAUAACUCAAAACAAAGGGGAAAGAGAGAAAGUUGCUGGAUGGGAGAAGAGGAGGGACCCUGACAAAUUGAAUUACAGGUUGUGCUUUCUCUUCUCUUUUCAUUCUGCCAUGGAUGGAAGGCAGUUAUCAAAAAUGCUGAGAGGAGGAUCCAUGCUUCCAGGAGAAAGAGGCAAAGGACAUUAAAGGUCUGACUUUACAUGUGCUUUAGCUUUCACUAUUCUUUGCCUCCUUGCUUCCUGGUACCAACAUUGAUUGUCUGGAAACUUCUGCGGGAUGAGAGAAGAGGCAAUAAACAACAAACAACAGUCAUAUAAAAACAAUGAACUACUGAAAUUUUGAAAAACAAUGAACUAUUAGGCAUUUGCAGUAACCCCUCUCCCCAAAUUUAAGCUUACUACUAUACAAUGUACUCAUCAUGUGAAUAAUUGCAAUAAAGACAAUAAAAAAGUCAGACAAUUUUAAACAUUCCUGAUCAUAUUGUACUCCCCUCCAUUGAUAUCAAUGGAAGUUAAUCACAAAAUAAUAGACCAUGGACCUUACUAUCUAUAAGGAAUUUUUAUGUGCCAUUUAGAGACCAAAAUCUAGUUUUACUCCAUAGUUUACUUUCCUAAUUCAUUCUAAGAGUCAAAAGAAAUAAAAUUGAUUUCUCGUUGUCAAUGUCACAAGUA
This is a non-coding RNA of Pelodiscus sinensis (Chinese soft-shelled turtle), 1262 nucleotides long. NCBI's taxonomy places the organism in Eukaryota, Metazoa, Chordata, Testudines, Trionychidae. The record is from RefSeq and is a predicted model, not a curated record.